AGUGAACGCUGGCGGUAGGCCUAACACAUGCAAGUCGAACGGCAGCACAGUAAGAGCUUGCUCUUACGGGUGGCGAGUGGCGGACGGGUGAGGAAUACAUCGGAAUCUACUUUUUCGUGGGGGAUAACGUAGGGAAACUUACGCUAAUACCGCAUACGACCUACGGGUGAAAGCAGGGGAUCUUCGGACCUUGCGCGAUUGAAUGAGCCGAUGUCGGAUUAGCUAGUUGGCGGGGUAAAGGCCCACCAAGGCGACGAUCCGUAGCUGGUCUGAGAGGAUGAUCAGCCACACUGGAACUGAGACACGGUCCAGACUCCUACGGGAGGCAGCAGUGGGGAAUAUUGGACAAGGGGCGCAAGCCUGAUCCAGCCAUACCGCGUGGGUGAAGAAGGCCUUCGGGUUGUAAAGCCCUUUUGUUGGGAAAGAAAAGCAGCAGGUUAAUACCCCGCUGUUCUGACGGUACCCAAAGAAUAAGCACCGGCUAACUUCGUGC
This 493-nucleotide ribosomal RNA is filed under the name uncultured bacterium. RNAcentral describes it as "partial 16S ribosomal RNA". It matches the Rfam family "Bacterial small subunit ribosomal RNA", at positions 29 to 508 of the family's 1533-position model. The record is from RNAcentral.